Long non-coding RNA from Hibiscus syriacus, 1285 nucleotides. RefSeq lists it as uncharacterized. The record is from RefSeq and is a predicted model, not a curated record. The transcript is spliced from 3 exons. NCBI's taxonomy places the organism in Eukaryota, Viridiplantae, Streptophyta, Magnoliopsida, Malvales, Malvaceae.
UGUAUCAACAAAAGUAGAAUGAAAAAUGGUUAGGUUGUUAGUUGAAGUAGGACAUAAAUGCUUAUUUGCUAACCUGUAUUUAAACCCUACUUGCACAGGGAUGGCGUGUUCUAAAAUUUAACUUCUGGCUUUCAUCAACAAUUGAAGAUUUAUAGGUUUGAAGGAUUUCACUCCUAUCAUCCAAUCACACACUGGAUUCAAAAGAAGGGAAAAGAAGAGAAAGUGAACAUUCUUUAUUGAUCAUCUAUGGAAGAAACUACUCGAGAAUCUUAUCCAGGACUAUAAUCAAGCAGAAUAUUGUAAAAGUGGCAUGUUUUAUUUUAGAAUUGGAUUUCUUUAAUGAGAAGAAAUUCUUUUAAUGCUAAAUGGCCUGAGGCAAAGACAGUAGCAUAUGAUAGAAUAAAUUCUUCGAGAAUCUGCUUGUUGACUAAUGAAAAAGGUCAUAGGCUCAAAGUCUAUAUUAAUGAUUUAUCUUUCAUGAUUCCUCUUUUCUGCCUUUCAUAAUUUGAUUGCCUGCUGAUGGAAUAAAUUUGCUGAUUGUCUUCUGAUGUGCAUCCUUCAUAUGAAUAUGCUUCACCAACUGACAACUGUUAGUUUCAUUAUAAUUUAAGUUUGAAAUCUCUGAUGCCCUUGUAAUUGCUCUAAUACUAUAUUGUUCCUUUGAAUGAACAAAACAUGCUUCUCAACUUAGUUUCUUUAUGCUUACACUCUUUGAUUUUCUAUUGGUUCCAGGAAUUGCUACCUAGAAGAUCCUUUUGGUUAUUGCAAAUAUUGUAGGUGAAGAUAAUCUUGUGAGGCAGGUGAUCUGUGAAUUUUUGCACAUUUCCCUCAUUAAUAUGUUUCAGUCAAAACAAAGUUGGUUAUCUAGAGCUAAACUAGAGUACCUGUUUUGGAGAACUAAAAUUUAGAGCUAGAGAUCUUAAGGGAUUUUGUGUUCAGGUUUGAGGUUUGAGUUAGAGCUUCUUUUAUUUAUUUAUUUUUUCCUUUGGUAUGUGAGUGAGAUGUAAAAUCGGAUUCCGGGAUGUAGACAGAAAAUGCAUCAUGCAUCUCGUGUGAGGCGGGGGCACAUAUAGACUACUAAUGAUUAUUAUUUUGCAACCUAGGUUUUAUGUUCUGUAAUGGCUGUGGCAAAGUAUGCCUUGGUUUUGUUUUUGUUUUUGUUUUGUUUUCCAUGUCUUCUUCCAUUAUUUGAGUUUGUGUUUCAGUCAGAUUGUAAUUGAGGUUCUUGUUGAUUUACUAGUGUGAAACAUUAGAAGGGAUGCCCAUCUCUGAAUAAGUUACUGCA